This 56-nucleotide microRNA precursor is filed under the name Limulus polyphemus (Atlantic horseshoe crab). Its description in RNAcentral is "Lpo-Mir-12-P8_pre stem-loop". The record is from RNAcentral. Lineage: Eukaryota; Metazoa; Arthropoda; Merostomata; Xiphosura; Limulidae.
UGAGUAUUGCAUCAGGUACUGGUAGUUUCAUAACCAGUAUUUGUGUGAUACUCAAC